Long non-coding RNA from Salvelinus namaycush (lake trout), 1495 nucleotides. RefSeq lists it as uncharacterized. The transcript is spliced from 4 exons. NCBI's taxonomy places the organism in Eukaryota, Metazoa, Chordata, Actinopteri, Salmoniformes, Salmonidae. The record is from RefSeq and is a predicted model, not a curated record.
UAUAAUUAUAUAUAUACAAGAUAAAUGUAAGUCACAAUUUUUUUUGAGUUUUCAUUUAUGAGCUGUGCUGAUGAUGGUACUCAACUUUUAGUGGCUCUUGCUUUUUGGAGGUGAAGACCUGAGUCUGUGCCCUCAGUCAGCCUAUGAAAUUACAGGAUCAAUCAUUCAAUUAGCAUUUUUUUUCUAAAAGCAAGUUAGGGUGUGCAAGAAAAUAGAGGCUCAUUGUCAGACCUGUGACACACAGAUGUUGAAUAUUCUAACAUACUCAUAUUCAAUGAGUACUAACCUUAAAGUUACAGAGUAUGUCCAUGUACUCAUUUAACUGACCACAGCUCUGUCCCCUAGUCCUGCCGUCAUAGCCUCUCUACAGAGAUCAGCCUCGGCAGUGGUCCCCUGGAUUCCAGUCUGGCAUGUUCCCCAGUCUCUGACUGCCCAGAGCUGGAGGGGCUAGAAGACCUGUCUGCCUCUGAGCUGUCCCUGACAGAGGGCUGGGACCCUGGGCACAUCCCCCUACUGGACCCUGCCUGGGGCCUGGAGUGGAGCAACCUUGUCAAUGCUGCCAAGGCCUAUGAAGCAAAGAGGACAGUGGAGCCCAUUCCUCCCAGCAAGUCCAAGAAGCAUGGAUCAGAGGGUGGACCUGCUGCUUGCCCACCUAAUCAUUACCCUCCUCAGGGCUACAAUGCCCAGCCCACAUUAAGAAGUGAAGUGCCCAGUGAUCUGUCAAGACUUCACCACCUGGAGGCGCUGCUGAGACUCUUGGAGAGCAACCUGGAGAAGGAAAGGGAGGAUAAAGUAGCCCUGAUGGAGGAAGUGACGAUUCUGAGAGAGACCAACCAGCGCCUGUGGGAGGAGUCUCUUUCAUCCAACGAACAACUCUGUAAACUCAGCCUGUUGUGGCCCCAGGAAUGAUGCCUAGAGAGAGAGAAGGACCAGCGACCCUAAGAGGAGAGAGAGAUGAUUUGAAAAGAGGAGUAGAGGAAAAAAUGGUUUCAACAAAGAUAGUACCUUGAAACAGAGUUUUCAAAUGUAAAUUGUCUUCAAAAUGUGAUCAGAGAAAGAGGACAGAUCACGGCGAGUUACCAGAGUUUGUUGUAGAGGUUACUUAUGCUGGGACAGUGACAUGUACAAGCUGGCUAAAUGCUUGAGUUGUUAGCCAGUUCAGUUGUACACAGUUGGUACGUUUUAACUGAAUAUUUCAGUUGUGUAAUCCUCACGUUCUCUCGCCUCUCCUGCUUGUCAAAACCCAUUGGAUGAGAAAACCAGAGGUCCAUCCCCUCUGACCUUCUCCACCAAUGGGUACAAUAAAAUAUUUAAGAAGGCACUGCUGAGAUUUGAACUCAGGAUCUCUUGUUUACUAGACAGGUACUUUAACCAACUAAGCCACAGCACCCAUAGCUGUAAUUUCUGUUGGGUAUGAAAACCCACAACUAUUUUGAAUCAACCCAGUCAUGUUCAUUUAACCCAUAACUCUGUCUAUCAAAAUUACAUGUAAAAA